AUGAAGACCCAACAACACGAAGCUCGCCGCACCACCCGGCACAGCGGCCAGGUAGUUACCUCCGCCGGUUUACCGAACAGUCCGGUUCGGAAGCGCCAUUCUGAGGUUACUUCCCACUCAUCUUCUGGCGAGUCAUCGGCUACUCAGCUCCCACCGCUCAAAACGGUGUUUGGGGCCAAACCUAGGCCAAGCAAGAAGGCCCGCCUGGACAAAGCGGCCAAAGAGGAUGUCGUUCUUGAAGCGGACAAGACACCCAACGCUGAAGCGGCUAUUCAUGUGGAUAUUCCCAAUGAUCCACCGCAACAAGAUGAUGAUCUUAUUGCAGAAGAGAGACCCACUGACACCUCAGAUCCUACCCAUCAGCCUACAAGUUCCAUCCGGAUUGAAAGCUCCAUCGGUCCAGCAAAGCCUACUGACAAGCCAACAGCUCCAGUGCAAACCGGUGGUACCAAAGAUGAUGAGGUUGUCAUUACUGGUACUGGCCAUACUGAGCCAAACAAUCCUAUCGCUUUAUCCAAACAUUCUGCCAAGGAAGAACUUGCUGCCUUUGGUAAAGGCAAGUGGAACGCUGAUCUGACGACUUACGCUGCUCUGAACGCCCAAGUUAUCCAUUCCGGCUAUCUGAACCGGCUGUAUACCAGCCGUGACUAUGAAGCCGGUCUGGUCAACAUGAUGAAAGACAAAUAUGAGGCGGAGCUGAAGACGAAAGAGAACCAAGUCAUCGAUCUUCAAGAAGCCCUGAAAACCCAACAAGUUGAAACCUCCAAAGCAAAAGAGGAAUUGACCAGUGCUUUAAGCGCCAUGGAACAACUUAAGGAAAACUUCAAAAAGAAACGGGCGGACUGGGCCACUGAGAAAUCCGCUUUGAUCAAACGAGCAGAGGAUGCUGAGGCUGCACUAAAACCAGUGGAAGAUGAACUGACCAGCAUAAAGCGGCACGUGCAUGCCAUGACUGCUGCUAUCUUUGGGACACGCAUUGGUCACUUGGGGUCAGAUGUACGGAAGAAGCUAAAAGCCGCCUAUACAUUGGUUGAACAAUUGUAUGCUGGUGCCCAGCGGAUCAUCUGUACCGCCUCUCAUAACAAACCGGCGCCUACUUUGAUUCAAGAUACUCCGAUGAAACUGUCGGUGCUUCCUGCCCGGAUUGAAGAGCUAAAGAAAUCUCCUGCUCAAACUGGCGCAAUCAAUGCUUUAAUCUGGGCAAAAGCCUGGGUGCCGGAUUUUGAUCCUGUUGAAGCGGCUCAGGGCUAUCCCAACUUGAAGGAAGACGGAUAA
RNAcentral lists this ribosomal RNA (1275 nucleotides) under Triticum aestivum (bread wheat). RNAcentral's name for it is "partial small subunit ribosomal RNA". The record is from RNAcentral. Lineage: Eukaryota; Viridiplantae; Streptophyta; Magnoliopsida; Poales; Poaceae.